UACGAGUGCCUCAAGCGUUAAUCGGAAUUACUGGGCGUAAAGCGCGCGUAGGUGGUUCGUUAAGUUGGAUGUGAAAGCCCCGGGCUCAACCUGGGAACUGCAUUCAAAACUGUCGAGCUAGAGUAUGGUAGAGGGUGGUGGAAUUUCCUGUGUAGCGGUGAAAUGCGUAGAUAUAGGAAGGAACACCAGUGGCGAAGGCGACCACCUGGACUGAUACUGACACUGAGGUGCGAAAGCGUGGGGAGCAAACAGG
This 253-nucleotide ribosomal RNA is filed under the name uncultured bacterium. RNAcentral's name for it is "partial 16S ribosomal RNA". It matches the Rfam family "Bacterial small subunit ribosomal RNA", at positions 524 to 776 of the family's 1533-position model. The record is from RNAcentral.